CCCUUAGAUGUUCUGGGCCGCACACGCGCUACACUGAAGGAGGCAGCGUGUACUCCUGGAUCGAAAGAUUUGGGUAACCCGCGAAUCUCCUUCGUGCUAGGGAUUGGGGUUUGCAAUUAUCCUUCAUGAACGAGGAAUUCCCAGUAAGUGCAAGUCAUAAGCUUGCGCUGACUACGUCCCUGCCCUUUGUACACACCGCCCGUCGCUACUACCGAUUGAAUGAUUUAGUGAGGACUUCGGACUGGGACCGAUGCGGCUUUCGGGCUGCGUCGGUAUUCUGGAAAGAUGUCCAAACUGUAUCAUUUAGAGGAAGUAAAANUCGUANCA
RNAcentral lists this ribosomal RNA (327 nucleotides) under uncultured eukaryote. RNAcentral's name for it is "partial 18S ribosomal RNA". It matches the Rfam family "Eukaryotic small subunit ribosomal RNA", at positions 1470 to 1796 of the family's 1831-position model. The record is from RNAcentral.